This 432-nucleotide ribosomal RNA is filed under the name uncultured bacterium. RNAcentral's name for it is "partial 16S ribosomal RNA". It matches the Rfam family "Bacterial small subunit ribosomal RNA", at positions 29 to 506 of the family's 1533-position model. The record is from RNAcentral.
AAUGAACGCUGGCGGCAUGCCUAACACAUGCAAGUCGAGCGAGGACUUCGGUCCUAUCGGCGGAUGGGGGAGUAACGCGUGGGAACGUUCCCUUUGCUUCGGAAUAGCUCUGGGAAACGGGGAGUAAUACCGGACGAGCCCUUAUGGGGAAAGAUAUAUUGGCGAAGGGUCGGCCCGCGUAGGAUUCGGUCGUAGGGGGGGUAAUCGCCCUCAAAGCCGUCCAUUCAUUGCUGGGUUGAGUGGAUGAUCAGCAACACUGGGACUGAGACACGGCCUAAACUCCUACGGAAGGCAGCAGUGGGGAAGCUUAGACAAUGGGGGAAUCCCUGAGCUAGCCGGGCCGCGAGAGCGAUGAAGGCCUUAGGAUUGUAAGGCUCUUUAAGCUGGGACAAUAAGGACGGAACCAACAAAAGAAGCCCCGCCUACUACCGG